Molecule: ribosomal RNA, 492 nt
Filed under: uncultured bacterium
Lineage: Bacteria
Description: partial 16S ribosomal RNA
Rfam family: Bacterial small subunit ribosomal RNA
Source: RNAcentral
AGUGAACGCUGGCGGUAGGCCUAACACAUGCAAGUCGAACGGCAGCACAGUAAGAGCUUGCUCUUACGGGUGGCGAGUGGCGGACGGGUGAGGAAUACAUCGGAAUCUACUUUUUCGUGGGGGAUAACGUAGGGAAACUUACGCUAAUACCGCAUACGACCUACGGGUGAAAGCAGGGGAUCUUCGGACCUUGCGCGAUUGAAUGAGCCGAUGUCGGAUUAGCUAGUUGGCGGGGUAAAGGCCCACCAAGGCGACGAUCCGUAGCUGGUCUGAGAGGAUGAUCAGCCACACUGGGACUGAGACACGGUCCAGACUACUACGGGAGGCAGCAGUGGGGAAUAUUGGACAAUGGGCGCAAGCCAGAUCCAGCCAUACCGCGUGGGUGAAGAAGGCCUUCGGGUUGUAAAGCCCUUUUGUUGGGAAAGAAAAGCAGCAGGUUAAUACCCCGCUGUUCUGACGGUACCCAAAGAAUAAGCACCGGCUAACUUCGUG